Molecule: long non-coding RNA, 1526 nt
Organism: Brassica napus (rape)
Lineage: Eukaryota; Viridiplantae; Streptophyta; Magnoliopsida; Brassicales; Brassicaceae
Exons: 3
Source: RefSeq, a predicted model, not a curated record
AAAAGGGGAAGAUAUUAAAUAGAUACAAAAAACUUUCCUCAAUAAAAAACAAUGUAUUGUAUAUGAAAAUAUAUAUAUUUUCUCGUUCACUGCUUUCAAAGGUCUCGUCGACCUCUUCCUCUCUAUUUUAUGUGUUUCUCAGGGUUUUGAUAUUUUCUCUCGCAUCUCUCGCGAUCGCAGAAGCUCUCCCAAUCCCUUUGAAUAAGGAAUCCUAAUCAUCAAGGUUUUCUCGAGGGUACGCGUACGACUUUUUCAAAUUAGGGUUUAAGAUCUUGCGGUACCACUACUUGUUUCGAUUUCAACUCGUUUAGUUUUGACUUUCGAACUGUUUUGUAGUUUUUAAGUUUGUGUUAGGGAUCAAAAUUGUUAGGGUUACGUGGGUGUAUUUGCGUUGCUUUGGUAUUGUUCAAUUUCUCAAUUGUUGUUUCUUGAGUAUAUAUGUCGAUUCAUACGCUUCAUCUUCAUGUUUUAUCACCAUCUGAUAGUUUGGGUUCUUGUGUUCGGUGAUCAAACGAGUUUAUGAUUCGAUAAUGUGGGUGUUCUAUUAUUUGUAACCUUUAAGCGUUUUCCUUGUUCUUGGUUAAGCUUCAGGUUCAGGGGAGAUUUCAACAUGGAGCGCAAGACAAUUGAUUUGGAUCAAGGAUGGGACUAUAUGCAGACUGGUGCCACUAAGCUCAAACGGAUUCUUGAAGGAUUGCCCUAGCCGCAUUUUGACUCUGAGCAAUACAUGAUGCUUUAAUAUCCGCAGGGGACGACGCCAAAGGAGAUUUUUUUCUCCGACACUUCCAUCUCCGACACCUCCUUCUCCAUCACCACCUUCGAAGGUCACGGCCGUAUUCAAUUCCUGACACCCCAACCCCAUCUGGUCUUCCUAUUUGUUGUCGUCGACGAACCCUAACCCCACACCACCGAUUUAAGUCACCACCUCAUUCAACUCCCAGAAACUUGAAGCCGUUGGCUUCAUCUCCUGCCAUUAGAAUAUAUCCUCCGCGCUUAUACGAAGUUGAGAAAACAUCAAUUCACAACAAGAGUUAUUUAAACGAUCAAGAAGAUGAAGAUGUAUUGUUUUCCGGUGUAGCCAGCGGAAGAGCUGGUGUAUCAUGCUCUCCUUUAGUGACUUAUGCCGACUAUAACCAAGAAAGAAUAGAAAAUCAGAUUUGGAUUAUGAGGCCAAGGUUAAGACACAUAGGAUCAAAUUCUCAAUUUUUCUCGUGUUGGUGAAACUGACUCAAGACAAGACAAGAGAAAGAGACUGAAUCAUGCUCAAGACGGGAAAUGAUCAAGAGUGUGCUGAGAUGGGGAUUGACUGAUUUGAGUUUUUUCUCUAUUGUAGUUGUGGGGCUUGUAACACUGAAAUUUUAGCAUCUUGGAAUGAGCGAAAGAAAUCAAAUACCUUGUUGUUCCCUAAAAGUUUAUUGGCAUUGUAAACAGUUUAAAUUGUUUAUGUCAUCCACAUCCUCUUUUGAGCACACAGUGGGGUAGUAAUAGAUCACAUCUUCAUUUCUUUUUUACACUAACAAAGAAAA